AGCGAACGCUGGCGGCAGGCUUAACACAUGCAAGUCGAGCGGGCAUCCUUGUGGUGUCAGCGGCAGACGGGUGAGUAACGCGUGGGAACGUGCCCUUCGGUUCGGAAUAACUCAGGGAAACUUGAGCUAAUACCGGAUACGCCCUUUUGGGGAAAGGUUUACUGCCGAAGGAUCGGCCCGCGUCUGAUUAGCUAGUUGGUGAGGUUAUGGCUCACCAAGGCGACGAUCAGUAGCUGUCUGAGAGGAUGAUCAGCCACACUGGGACUGAGACACGGCCCAGACUCCUACGGGAGGCAGCAGUGGGGAAUAUUGGACAAUGGGGGCAACCCUGAUCCAGCCAUGCCGCGUGAGUGAUGACGGCCUUAGGGUUGUAAAGCUCUUUUCUCCGGGACGAUAAUGACGGUACCGGAGGAAUAAGCCCCGGCUAACUUCGUG
RNAcentral lists this ribosomal RNA (435 nucleotides) under uncultured bacterium. RNAcentral describes it as "partial 16S ribosomal RNA". It matches the Rfam family "Bacterial small subunit ribosomal RNA", at positions 29 to 507 of the family's 1533-position model. The record is from RNAcentral.